This 1491-nucleotide long non-coding RNA is filed under the name Monodelphis domestica (gray short-tailed opossum). RNAcentral describes it as "lncRNA (ENSMODG00000049683.1)". The record is from RNAcentral. Lineage: Eukaryota; Metazoa; Chordata; Mammalia; Didelphimorphia; Didelphidae.
AUGGGUUUGUUUGGAGUGGGAGGAGAACACAGGACUCAACCAUGCCCAGAUGCUCCCGGACAGCAAAAGGGGACAAGCCGUAGCCCCGCCCUCCCCAAUGGGGGUCUGAGUAGAGGCCCCCGCGGGGAGGAGGAGGACCGCAGUGUCCUUUGGGAAAUGGAGUCCAUGAGCCUGCCCAUCAGAGAAGCUAAAGGAGAGCGGCCGUGGGUCUCCCUAAGAGUAGACUACAUUUCCCAGAAGGUUCCAAGAUUCCAUUCCAGCUCGACCUGUGUGGAUGGUCUCAGAACCCAAGGCAUGAUGGGAAUCAUCUUUUCGGGGCUCAAGGAGCAGCCCGAGACGCCGAGUGGGCAAGAGAGAGUGACAGGACUACGCAAGCGCGAGACCCGGCUUCCCAUCUCCCCUCCUAGCUGGAGCCUGGUCCCCCCAGUGCCUGCUGAUGAGCGAGUGCGCGUGUGCGGCGACGCCUAUCCUAGCGCGGACCAAUGGUUGUGGUGGAGUCGCCGCCGCCUGUCUGACCUCCCUUCCCCUCGCCUCAUGGUGGCCGCCCAGCCCAGUUCGAGGGGUCCCCCAGAGCCUCGGGCAGCAAACUCCAGCAAGGCGGGAGGCUGCAAAGGGAGCGCAGGCGAGCGGCUUCCCGAGAAGGCCAGGCUGCUGCUGGGAAGCUCCCAUCCUUCCUGGCCGACCCACCAGGAGGCUCCUCCACAGCCGCUUCGGAGCACGGCCCCAUCCCUGGAGGGACUGGUGGUCCAGGCCGCCCCGCUAGCGUCUGAGGGCGCCUUUUCCCGGAUUCCGGCCAGCGCUCCGGGGAGGACGAGCGCGUCACAUCCAUCGCGGGACGCAGCUUGGGCAGAGGAAGUGAAGUUGAAGCUUCUCAAUAUUUGGUCCUUCCCCAAGACCACCUUAUGGCAGAUGAGGAGGAAAUGACUUCCAGCUUCCUGAGACCUAGGCUUAAGUCCCUGAUUGGAAGGCUUCACUUCAUUCCGGGUCCGAGUCCCAGAGUCCUUAUUUCUGGACAACGUGCCCAUCACACAGAGACUUCUGCCAGCCCCUUCUGUAUGUUAGGACUCCAAGUACCUAUGUGGCAUUUUAGUUAUAUGGCUUGAUGGUGUCUUGCCUAGUGAGGUGAGUUUGAUAGAAUAAGGGGAUACACUUUAUAUUGAAUUUACACAAUUGUUUCUCUUUGCUGAAAACCAGACCAGUUAUUUUAUCACGUUUAGGACCAUUUCUUUCCCUUUUUGUCAAUGGUUUUUGUUCCCGCAGUUCUCAUCCAGGGAUCUGAGCUUCAAUUCUUCUCUUCGAUAAGUCUCAGAUUAUUCUAAUGGAUGAUGCAAAGUUUAUAAAUCAUUUGAAUUGGAUUGCCUUCAUAAUAUAAGUUCAACUCUUGUAAGGAGUAAAUUUAGGGGUUUUUGACUGAAAUAUAAAUUUAGUUGGUCUCCAGGGAUUAGUUCAAGUCCCAAUAAAAAUGCUGAAGUCAGUUUGGGAAUUUUAUGG